CAUAGUGUAGCUUAUCACAAAGCAUCUGGCCUACACCCAAAAGAAUUCACUACAAAUGAACACUAUGA
This 68-nucleotide transfer RNA is filed under the name Malacomys edwardsi (Edward's swamp rat). RNAcentral's name for it is "tRNA-Val". Lineage: Eukaryota; Metazoa; Chordata; Mammalia; Rodentia; Muridae. The record is from RNAcentral.